CAACUUUCAACAACGGAUCUCUUGGUUCUGGCAUCGAUGAAGAACGCAGCGAAAUGCGAUAAGUAGUGUGAAUUGCAGAUUCAGUGAAUCAUCGAAUCUUUGAACGCACAUUGCGCCCCUUGGUAUUCCAUGGGGCAUGCCUGUUCGAGCGUCAUU
RNAcentral lists this ribosomal RNA (156 nucleotides) under Phoma sp. 09169. RNAcentral describes it as "5.8S ribosomal RNA". It matches the Rfam family "5.8S ribosomal RNA". Rfam says of the family: 5.8S ribosomal RNA (5.8S rRNA) is a component of the large subunit of the eukaryotic ribosome. It is transcribed by RNA polymerase I as part of the 45S precursor that also contains 18S and 28S rRNA. Lineage: Eukaryota; Fungi; Ascomycota; Dothideomycetes; Pleosporales; Didymellaceae. The record is from RNAcentral.